GCCUGGAUAGCUCAAUCAGUAGAGUAUCAGACUUUUAAUCUUGAACUGGGUUCAAGUCCCUGUCUGGGCG
This 70-nucleotide transfer RNA is filed under the name Xenopus laevis (African clawed frog). It matches the Rfam family "tRNA". Rfam says of the family: Transfer RNA (tRNA) molecules are approximately 80 nucleotides in length. Their secondary structure includes four short double-helical elements and three loops (D, anti-codon, and T loops). Further hydrogen bonds mediate the characteristic L-shaped molecular structure. tRNAs have two regions of fundamental functional importance: the anti-codon, which is responsible for specific mRNA codon recognition, and the 3' end, to which the tRNAs corresponding amino acid is attached (by aminoacyl-tRNA synthetases). tRNAs cope with the degeneracy of the genetic code in two manners: having more than one tRNA (with a specific anti-codon) for a particular amino acid; and 'wobble' base-pairing, i.e. permitting non-standard base-pairing at the 3rd anti-codon position. The record is from Rfam by way of RNAcentral. Lineage: Eukaryota; Metazoa; Chordata; Amphibia; Anura; Pipidae.